CAGCCGUAAACUAUGCGCGUUAGGUGUACUGGUGACCACGAGUCACCGGGGUGCCGAAGGGAAACCGUGAAACGUGCCGCCUGGGAAGUACGGUCGCAAGGCUGAAACUUAAAGGAAUUGGCCGGGGGAGCACCACAACGGGUGGAGCCUGCGGUUUAAUUGGACUCAACGCCGGAAAUCUCACCGGAUAGGACAGACAUAUGAUAGUCGGGCUGAAGACUCUACUUGAUGAUCUGAGAGGAGGUGCAUGGCGUAGUCGUGU
This 262-nucleotide ribosomal RNA is filed under the name uncultured archaeon. RNAcentral's name for it is "partial 16S ribosomal RNA". It matches the Rfam family "Archaeal small subunit ribosomal RNA", at positions 748 to 1009 of the family's 1478-position model. The record is from RNAcentral.